This is a long non-coding RNA of Canis lupus familiaris (dog), 3858 nucleotides long. RefSeq lists it as uncharacterized. Lineage: Eukaryota; Metazoa; Chordata; Mammalia; Carnivora; Canidae. The transcript is spliced from 3 exons. The record is from RefSeq and is a predicted model, not a curated record.
GGGGCGGGAGAGGCCCUGCUGGGUGGACCUUCUCCGAAGACAGCGACGGGGCUUUGGGGAGGGGGGCUGCUCCCGGCCUCUGCUCUUACAGCGGCGGUCGCUGCUCUCCGGGAGCUGGAGGCUGGGCUUCAGGAAAGGCUGGGGCAUUUAGGGAAAGCCAUUUCUGAGAGGUGAAGGGGAAGCUGAGGCAGCUCUGGGCUGCAGCACGCCCAGAGGGUCGCCUCCUGGACCAGCGAGGCCCUUCUCCUGCUCCUUGCUCCUGGGACCGCGGGCGCCUCGCCCGGAGCACCGGCGAUUUCCCCGGACUCGGCGGGUGUGCGGUGCCUGUCCCACAGAGGAGGCCCUUCUGGAGUCUCAGGGGCUCGAGAGGGCUUCGCGGCCGGCGGGUCCCCCGGAUGGUCCCCGGGUGCUGAGGCCGGACGGUCCCCGGGCGCUGAGCCCCAGAAGGCCCCUGGAUGCUGAGGCUAGAAGGCCCCCGGGUGCUGAGUCCCGACGGCCCCCAGAUGCUGAGGCCGGACGGUCCCUAGAACUGAGCCCGGAGGGUCCCCGGGAGCUGAGCCCCGACGGUCCCCAGACGUUUCCCUUUUGGCCUCAAUUUCCUUUUCGUCCUCAAGUGCCAUGUAAACUAGAUCGGCGGGGUUCACGUAGAGGGCUUCUGUUCAGCCCAGGACAUGUCGUCAGCUUCUCGGAGCGAGAUUCUCAGGUUUGAUGGCCUGAAGAAAGGAGUUCUAGAACCAUGCAAGUCAAGCAUCUGCCUCCAGGAAGCUGAAUUCAAUGUGGAAGCUGAGGCCCAGAGAGGUCAAGUGACUUGCCUGAGGUCACCCAGCUCCCAACUGCCAAGGCUGGAAUUUGCAAUCCAAGCAACUUGGCUGCAGAGCCUGUGUUCUCAGCCACCAUCGCUUAAAAUCAUGCUGUGAAACUACAUCCACCGGCACGGAAAGCUCCAUGAGUUCAGCUUGAAAAGUAGGUCACAAAUCAGCACGGAUGGGCCUGUUUAUUUUAAAUUUACGUGUAACACUAUGUUUUCUGAGUGCUGACUAUAUGCUGGGUGCUGAGGCUGGCACAGGGAGCGUGUUGUUUAGCUUAAUCUCCAAACAGCCCUUAGAGGAAGGCACCACUCUGGACGUACUCAGAGGCAGAACUGAAGACUCAGAGGGGUUCAGUCACUCAGCUGUGGUCACACAGCCCUGCGAGUAGAAGCCAGGAUUCAGAGCCAGACACUCAGGCCUGCAGAAUCCCCCCACAAGGAUGCACUCACUGCCUGCUGGCAGGAGCUCUGAGCUCCUUCUCUGUGAGCCCGUGACUGGCGGCUGUGAUCUGUGGGUACCCGGCAUGGCCCUGCAUCACCCUCACUUUGCAAGAUGCUUUUCAAAAUGUUUAACAGCACACAGUUGGAGGAUGGUGCUGCCUGCCCUCAUGUGCAGAUGCUGCUUCCUUAGACGAGGAACUGAAGGGGGGCCCUGGGGUAAUGGGGGGCCCUCAAGGGGCUCAAAGCAAUGCAUUUUGCCAACUUGCAGCUUUUUGCCGCAGCCCCGUUGAACACGGGCCCUGUUCUUUUCCCUCAAGAGCCGGCUGGGUGCCAGGGCUUCCUGCAUCUUCCCAGGAGCCGCCUCCAAGCCGGAACUCCAAAGCCCCUCCGCAUGCAGAGCUAGAAGACAGAAUCUGGAAGACGUUGGGAACACGAACAGCUUUGGAGAAGUGGCAGAGGGGACAUGGAGUGGGGACCGGCUCAGAUACCCACCCCUGCAUGUGCAGGCCAGAUGCAGGAUGGGAAGCAGGAACCACAUCAAAGUGGCAGGCACCCAGGCUGGAGUGGGAGGGGUCCAAGGAAGUGUACAGCAUGGUGAUAAAAACCCAAGCCCUCAUGGCCACCACCAUCUGCAGGCACAGAGCGGGGGCCAGCCCUGAUCAGGGCGACACCGAGAAUUUGGGCUCCUUACAUCUUGGAGCUGAGAACGUGGGCUGGUGUGCCAGCAGGGCCAUGGCAGGGUUGCAGCUGCACCAUUGCCAGCAAACGGGUGGGGCUGGGCCCAGCAGAGUUUCAGAGCCUGGGCUGUAGACCCAGAUGGGUGGGAAUCCCAGCCUGAUCGGUUGCUGGGAUUAUAACUUUACAACAGUUAUUUAGCCUCUCAGGGCCUCGGUUUUCCAAUCUAUAAAAUGGGCAUGGGCAGCCCGGGUGGCUAAGCGGUUUGGCACCGCCUUCAGCCCAAGGUGUGAUCCUGGAGACCUGGGAUUGAGUCCCAUGUCAGGCUCCCUACAUGGAGCCUGCUUCUCCCUCUCCCUGUGUCUCUGCCUCUUUCUCUCUCUGUGCCACAUGAAUAAAUAAAUAAAAUAAAAUGGGCAUAAUACCUAAACUACAGCAUGGAGUCGCGGUGGAGAGGAUCAGAUGUGUUUAGCACAACAUGAGGCACACGUAGGGAGUGCUCUGGGAGUCAGCGCCCCCAGGGAGCAGCCCCCAGCUGCGGUAAACACCCCAGGAUCCACAUGGCUCUGGAGUGCAUGCUCCACACUGUCACCUGGGUGUGUCACUGUCACCCCAGCAAGAUAGAGGCCUGGCAGCCUGCCGCUAGCUAUAAGCUGUCCCUGUGCUGGCCGCCUCCCCUCCGUGCCUGGUGUCCCCGCUCCUGGGCCUCCCACGCACCCUGCUUGCCUCAUGUGGUCACUGUCAUCACCGUCUCAGGGUGGGCCCUGGGAGGAACUAAGUGCACGGCAUGGACCACAGCUAACAUCACCCACCGUCCGUGCUGUGAGUCCGACCUCGAUUCAAACCCUGUGCUGCCACUUGCACGCUGAGACCCAGGAUGAGCCAAGCAGGGUCUCUGAGCCGCCACUGCGCAUCUUUAAAAUGCAGACGAGAAUGGCAGCCGCCCUCGGGGUUCGUUUCAAGACUUGGUAUUUUCCCUAGGCGUGGACCCUGGCACAUUGUCACUGCUCAACAAGCAUGAGCUGUUACUACCGUAGUCAGGUAGACGUGGGGCGGCACUCCGGGUGAGAGAGCGAGGUAGUCCCAAGGUCCUUUGUCUGGUUUCAGGCUCUGCUGUCGCCGUCUUGAAAUCCAUAGGACUUUUGAGCAAAGCAUUCUGUUUUGUCCAUUGGACCCUGCUGGUUGGGCAGCCAUCCCUGGGAGACCUCGUUGGCCUCGGUUUCCUCAUCUGUCAGGCGGGGGUGACAGCAGAGUGAACUCUACCCCGCAGCAGUGACGUGGGACAGAAGUGUGGGUAUUUCAAAGGGCAUUGCUAAUAACAGACGAAUAACCCAAUUAAAACACUGGCAAAGGAGCUGAAAAGACAUUUUUCCAAAGAAGAUGUAUAAAUGGCCAAAAGGCCAAAAAGCACAUGAAAAGAUGCUCCACGUCACUAGUGUACAGGGAAAUGCAAGUCAAAACCACAGGGAGAUGGCUUCACACCCAUGGCAAUGGCUGGGAUCCAAGACUAAAGCAGGUGCUGAUGAGGAUGUGGAGCAACCAGGACUUUUCCGGGCGGCCAGUGGGAAUGGCUCAUGGUGUGGCCACCUGGCGGUUCCUCAAGAGUUAAAAUAUAGAGUUAUUAUGACCCAGAGAUUCCAUCCAGGGCACAGCCAAGAGAAACGAAAACAUGUCCACAUAAGAACUAGUACGUGGGUAUUUACGGCAGCAUCAUUCACAGCAGCCCAAAGUGGAAACCCCAUUACCCACCAACUGACGAGUAGGUGGACUGUGGUCUCUCCUACAAGGGAACAUUAUUCAGCCAUAAAAAGGAGGGAAGUGGUGGCACUCUGCUGCAACGCGGAUGAGCCUUGAAAACGUGAUAUGGAGACGCCUGGGUGGCUCAGCGGUUGAGCAUCUGCCUUCAGCUCAGGUCUCUACCUCUCUCUGUGUGU